This is a long non-coding RNA of Puntigrus tetrazona (Sumatra barb), 569 nucleotides long. RefSeq lists it as uncharacterized. The record is from RefSeq and is a predicted model, not a curated record. Lineage: Eukaryota; Metazoa; Chordata; Actinopteri; Cypriniformes; Cyprinidae. The transcript has 3 exons.
UAUUUGAUACUACACAGUAGAUGGCGAUAAUGCUCUAUUAAGAAAGCAAUCUUCCAAUCAGCUCAAAGUAGAAAGUUUUCUCAGCCGCUGGAUGUCGCUGUACGAGCAGGUCUGCGUGUGAAUAUCAGCCGAAGAAAAGACAACAAUGGCGGCGACCUGCUCGUGGAAGUUAGACAAAGAAACGGGGCAGGAUGCGCUUAUCGGUCACAGGUCUGCUAGACGAAGGCUACUGAUCCUGAUGUGGAGGGCUUGAGGUGGCCACUGUCUUCACAAUGAACCCAGUAGUUGGAAUCAGUUCACACAAAUCCAAAGCUUCCUGAUACAUACACACAUACAUACGGUACAGUAAUCGUGGUAGCAGACUUACCAUCAGUCAGCUGGAAACCAAAGGGCUCUGCAACAAAGUGUGGUUUGGGAUCAGCUGGCUCUGGAUUCGGCUCCGAGUUCUCUUGUAGAGGCACAAAUGGCUCAACUCUGGUCCCGCGGCAGCAGCAGAAGGAGGGCCACUUUAAGGGCUUCCGUGCUUUCUUAAAGACUGAAGAAAUCCCUUUCUUCAUCCUUUUCCUCAA